GUAGUACUCCCUCCAUUCAGAAUUACUUGUCAAAUAAAUGGAUGUAUCUACAACUAAAGUACAUCUAGAUACAUUCAUUUCUUGGACGAUUAAUUCUGAACGGAGGGAGUAUGUA
Non-coding RNA from Triticum aestivum (bread wheat), 115 nucleotides. The record is from Rfam. NCBI's taxonomy places the organism in Eukaryota, Viridiplantae, Streptophyta, Magnoliopsida, Poales, Poaceae.